This 423-nucleotide unclassified non-coding RNA is filed under the name uncultured fungus. RNAcentral describes it as "partial contains 5.8S ribosomal RNA and internal transcribed spacer 2". The stretch from base 1 to 133 matches the Rfam family "5.8S ribosomal RNA", at positions 22 to 154 of the family's 154-position model. Lineage: Eukaryota; Fungi. The record is from RNAcentral.
UGGCUCUCGCAUCGAUGAAGAACGCAGCGAAAUGUGAUACGUAGUGUGAAUUGCAGAAUUCAGUGAAUCAUCGAAUCUUUGAACGCACCUUGCGCUCCCUGGUAUUCCGGAGAGCAUGCCUGUUUGAGUGUCGUGUAAUCUCUCAAUCGGACUCCCGUCUUUUGCUCACGCGGAAGCGGGUCCAAGUUGGAUUGGAUCUUGGCUGUUUUUGCCGUCUAGCAACAGACAGCUCGGCCGAAAUGUAGACAAGUGACGAUCGCCCUUGUGUGGAUCCGGCUUGACCCUGGCGUUGUAAACAUCCUCGUCGGGUUACGGUCCUCGCGAACGGUCCACGGCACUUUGAAAUCUUCACACAUUCGAAAGUUGGGAGUGAUCCCUCUCUCGAGCACUUUUGACCUCAGAUCAGGCAGGACUACCCGCUGA